Molecule: ribosomal RNA, 253 nt
Filed under: uncultured bacterium
Lineage: Bacteria
Description: partial 16S ribosomal RNA
Rfam family: Bacterial small subunit ribosomal RNA
Source: RNAcentral
UACGAAGGGGGCUAGCGUUGCUCGGAAUUACUGGGCGUAAAGCGCGUGUAGGCGGUUAUCCAAGUUGGAUGUGAAAGCCUUGAGCUUAACUCAAGAAAUGCAUUCAGGACUGGGUGACUAGAGGACCGGAGAGGAUAGUGGAAUUCCCAGUGUAGUGGUGAAAUACGUAGAGAUUGGGAAGAACACCAGUGGCGAAGGCGGCUAUCUGGACGGUUUCUGACGCUAAGACGCGAAAGCGUGGGGAGCAAACAGG